UAGGGAAUCUUCCGCAAUGGGCGAAAGCUUGACGGAGCAACGCCGCGUGAGUGAUGAAGGUCUUCGGAUCGUAAAACUCUGUUAUUAGGGAAGAACAAAUGUGUAAGUAACUAUGCACGUCUUGACGGUACCUAAUCAGAAAGCCACGGCUAACUACGUGCCAGCAGCCGCGGUAAUACGUAGGUGGCAAGCGUUAUCCGGAAUUAUUGGGCGUAAAGCGCGCGUAGGCGGUUUUUUAAGUCUGAUGUGAAAGCCCACGGCUCAACCGUGGAGGGUCAUUGGAAACUGGAAAACUUGAGUGCAGAAGAGGAAAGUGGAAUUCCAUGUGUAGCGGUGAAAUGCGCAGAGAUAUGGAGGAACACCUGUGGCGAAGGCGACUUUCUGGUCUGUAACUGACGCUGAUGUGCGAAAGCGUGGGGAUCAAACAGG
Molecule: ribosomal RNA, 429 nt
Filed under: Actinomycetes bacterium
Lineage: Bacteria; Bacillati; Actinomycetota; Actinomycetes
Description: Actinobacteria bacterium partial 16S ribosomal RNA
Rfam family: Bacterial small subunit ribosomal RNA
Source: RNAcentral